Molecule: long non-coding RNA, 504 nt
Organism: Lutra lutra (Eurasian river otter)
Lineage: Eukaryota; Metazoa; Chordata; Mammalia; Carnivora; Mustelidae
Exons: 3
Source: RefSeq, a predicted model, not a curated record
GAGGCUGGGAAGGCCAAGAUCAAGGAGCCAGCAGAUUCAGUGUCUGGUGAGAGCUUGCUUCCUGGUUCUUAGACUGCCGUCUUCUCCCUGUGUCCUCACCCAGCAGAAGUGGCAAGGACUGGACUUCUACUACCAUCCCAUGGCAGGCAAAGGAGUACAUUCAGUUCUGUUUGAAUGAAUGAAUACUGAAUGAAUACAUUCAGUAUUGUUUUUUGGCCAACUCUCCUGGUCUUUGUAUUUUGAUUGGACACUGGAAACAUGCCAAUAAAAUGGAUGCUGUAAAGAAGUGCCAGCUGAUCUGGACUGUGAAGGACAAGAAGAGCUCUGACGGGUGAAGAAGAAAAGUUAGCGUCUUCUAGGUGUAAGAGAGUCAAUACUUCAUAGCAUGACCUCUAGUGUGAAGGAAUGUAACAUUUUAAAUUUUUUUAUAACUAAACUUAGUCUUUACCUUUUGACAUAAGAAUUACUUUGAGCUCGGGUGCCUGGGUGGCUCAGUCAGUUAAG